UAGGGAAUCUUGCGCAAUGGGGGAAACCCUGACGCAGCCAUGCCGCGUGAAUGAUGAAGGUCUUAGGAUUGUAAAAUUCUUUCAGCGGGGAAGAUAAUGACUGUACCCGCAGAAGAAGCUCCGGCUAACUUCGUGCCAGCAGCCGCGGUAAUACGAAGGGGGCUAGCGUUGCUCGGAAUUACUGGGCGUAAAGGGCGCGUAGGCGGGUGUUUAAGUCAGAGGUUAAAUCCCAGGGCUCAACCCUGGAACUGCCUUUGAUACUGGGCACCUAGAGUACGGGAGAGGUGUGUGGAACUCCGAGUGUAGAGGUGAAAUUCGUAGAUAUUCGGAAGAACACCAGUGGCGAAGGCGACACACUGGCCCGUUACUGACGCUGAGGCGCGAAAGCGUGGGGAGCAAACAGG
Molecule: ribosomal RNA, 404 nt
Filed under: uncultured bacterium
Lineage: Bacteria
Description: bacterial SSU rRNA
Rfam family: Bacterial small subunit ribosomal RNA
Source: RNAcentral